RNAcentral lists this ribosomal RNA (229 nucleotides) under uncultured bacterium. RNAcentral's name for it is "partial 16S ribosomal RNA". It matches the Rfam family "Bacterial small subunit ribosomal RNA", at positions 568 to 796 of the family's 1533-position model. The record is from RNAcentral.
UGCGUAGGCGGGGCAAUUAGUCAGUGGUGAAAUACUGCGGCUUAACCGUAGAACUGCCAUUGAUACUGUUGCCCUUGAGUAUAGUUGAAGUGGGCGGAAUGUGUAAUGUAGCGGUGAAAUGCAUAGAGAUUACACAGAACACCAAUUGCGAAGGCAGCUCACUAAGCUAAAACUGACGCUGAGGCACGAAAGCGUGGGGAGCGAACAGGAUUAGAUACCCUGGUAGUCC